RNAcentral lists this ribosomal RNA (508 nucleotides) under uncultured bacterium. Its description in RNAcentral is "partial 16S ribosomal RNA". It matches the Rfam family "Bacterial small subunit ribosomal RNA", at positions 356 to 853 of the family's 1533-position model. The record is from RNAcentral.
UGGGAAUAUUGGACAAUGGGGGCAACCCUGAUCCAGCCAUGCCGCGUGUGUGAAGAAGGCCUUUUGGUUGUAAAGCACUUUAAGCAGGGAGGAGAGGCUAAUGGUUAAUACCCAUUAGAUUAGACGUUACCUGCAGAAUAAGCACCGGCUAACUCUGUGCCAGCAGCCGCGGUAAUACAGAGGGUGCGAGCGUUAAUCGGAAUUACUGGGCGUAAAGCGAGUGUAGGUGGCUCAUUAAGUCACAUGUGAAAUCCCCGGGUUUAACCUGGGAACUGCAUGUGAUACUGGUGGUGCUAGAAUAUGUGAGAGGGAAGUAGAAUUCCCAGGUGUAGCGGUGAAAUGCGUAGAGAUCUGGAGGAAUACCGAUGGCGAAGGCAGCUUCCUGGCAUAAUAUUGACACUGAGAUUCGAAAGCGUGGGUAGCAAACAGGAUUAGAUACCCUGGUAGUCCACGCCGUAAAACGAUGUCUACUAGCCGUUGGGGUCCUUGAGACUUUAGUGGCGCAGUU